RNAcentral lists this ribosomal RNA (795 nucleotides) under Streptomyces sp. RNAcentral's name for it is "bacterial SSU rRNA". It matches the Rfam family "Bacterial small subunit ribosomal RNA", at positions 56 to 866 of the family's 1533-position model. The record is from RNAcentral. Lineage: Bacteria; Bacillati; Actinomycetota; Actinomycetes; Kitasatosporales; Streptomycetaceae.
UGCAGUCGAACGAUGAACCACUUCGGUGGGGAUUAGUGGCGAACGGGUGAGUAACACGUGGGCAAUCUGCCCUGCACUCUGGGACAAGCCCUGGAAACGGGGUCUAAUACCGGAUACUGACCCGCUUGGGCAUCCAAGCGGUUCGAAAGCUCCGGCGGUGCAGGAUGAGCCCGCGGCCUAUCAGCUUGUUGGUGAGGUAAUGGCUCACCAAGGCGACGACGGGUAGCCGGCCUGAGAGGGCGACCGGCCACACUGGGACUGAGACACGGCCCAGACUCCUACGGGAGGCAGCAGUGGGGAAUAUUGCACAAUGGGCGAAAGCCUGAUGCAGCGACGCCGCGUGAGGGAUGACGGCCUUCGGGUUGUAAACCUCUUUCAGCAGGGAAGAAGCGAAAGUGACGGUACCUGCAGAAGAAGCGCCGGCUAACUACGUGCCAGCAGCCGCGGUAAUACGUAGGGCGCGAGCGUUGUCCGGAAUUAUUGGGCGUAAAGAGCUCGUAGGCGGCUUGUCACGUCGGUUGUGAAAGCCCGGGGCUUAACCCCGGGUCUGCAGUCGAUACGGGCAGGCUAGAGUUCGGUAGGGGAGAUCGGAAUUCCUGGUGUAGCGGUGAAAUGCGCAGAUAUCAGGAGGAACACCGGUGGCGAAGGCGGAUCUCUGGGCCGAUACUGACGCUGAGGAGCGAAAGCGUGGGGAGCGAACAGGAUUAGAUACCCUGGUAGUCCACGCCGUAAACGGUGGGCACUAGGUGUGGGCGACAUUCCACGUCGUCCGUGCCGCAGCUAACGCAUUAAGUG